AGAGAUUAGAGAAGAUGAAAAAAAGAACAUAAGAGAUGCGGGAUUGGGAAGAAAGAUGCAAUAAAAACGUAAUUGAAAGAGAAAAUAGUAACAUAAAAGAUAAAAAAAGAAAGAACAUAAGAGAGGAAAUAUUAGAGUAGAAACGGUGAAAUGUUCAUAGUAAAGAAGAUGAGAAGAAUCCGCGAUACUACUAGGAGAGAUUUAAGAAGGUUGAAAUUGAAACCCUAAGUGUGAGUAAGAUAAAAUUGUUUUUAAUUGUAAGGUUAAGGCAUACUAAGUUUGAGUUUUGGGUUGGAUGUGGUAUAAUUGAAGUUUGGAUUGUAACAUAAAGCGGUUUGGUUUGAUUUAGUUUGGUUUGAAAAAUACAAACCGCAAACCAAACCAAACCAUGC
This 392-nucleotide long non-coding RNA is filed under the name Lathyrus oleraceus (garden pea). RNAcentral's name for it is "Pisum sativum (pea) long non-coding RNA (PSAT_LNC028320)". The record is from RNAcentral. Lineage: Eukaryota; Viridiplantae; Streptophyta; Magnoliopsida; Fabales; Fabaceae.